This 594-nucleotide long non-coding RNA is filed under the name Gossypium barbadense (sea-island cotton). RNAcentral's name for it is "long non-coding RNA (GBAR_LNC001253)". The record is from RNAcentral. Lineage: Eukaryota; Viridiplantae; Streptophyta; Magnoliopsida; Malvales; Malvaceae.
UUGCCCCAGUUGCAACUUCCUAAAUUUUGAUCCUAUUGUAAUGUUUCAAGAAAAUCAAAACUAAGUUUUAUCUAUUGCUUCAUUUAAAUGAAUUGUUGACAUUGUUUUUAAGAAUUUGACAUGCUUGAAGUCUAGAUCACCAUUCCUCUGUUUCUAUUUGAUCCUGAGACCAACUUCUGUUUUGGGUUCCAAAAAUUAGCCUGCCAUUUGUUCUUAUAGCUGUAGCUUUUAUACUAAUCACUUUAUUGUGUUGCACAACUUGGGCACAAAGAUGCUGAAUUUAAUAGUUUCAACUUAUGAUGCUGAAUUUAAUAGUUUCAACUUAUGAUGCUGAAUUUAAUAGUUUCAACUUAGGAUUGUGAUAAAUAUGACAAAAUUUUGCAUCUAGCUAGCGGUAAUGGGCUUUGUUGACAGUUUGUUAAGGUUAAGUGAAUUUUAUUUUUCUUUUGAUCGAGGUGAUGAUUUAAUGUCAAUGGUUGCAAAACAAUGGUGCCAAUCUUACAUUAGGAAUCUGUUUCUUGUCUGGAUUAACACUGAUUGUCAUUUCAUCUGUUAAUAAAAAACAAUAUUGUUGGUAUCAGAAAUUCGAGAAGA